UCAUAGCAACUAACAGUGUGACAAUAUCAGUUGCAGCAUCAAGCCGGUGGCUGGAGGGUAUUCGAAAAUGGUACUACAAUGCUGCAGGGUUCAAUAAACUGGGGUUAAUGAGAGAUGAUACAAUAUAUGAGAAUGAUGAUGUGAAAGAGGCCAUAAGAAGGCUUCCUGAGAACCUUUAUAACGACAGGAUGUUUCGCAUUAAGAGAGCACUGGACCUGACCAUGAGGCAUCAGAUCUUGCCUAAAGAGCAGUGGACAAAAUAUGAAGAGGAUAAAUUCUAUCUUGAACCAUAUCUGAAAGAAGUUAUUCGGGAAAGAAAAGAGAGAGAAGAAUGGGCAAAGAAAUAAUGAUGGAGUUGAAAUCUGUGGUUGCAGCUGCCCUCAAAUAUUUUUAAGAAUCUGAUAAUCAUUCAACCAAGCGUCCAGUGUGCACUUUUACAAGGAGACCAGAGCUGAAGCACCUCCCACAGGACCCCUACAAAGGAUGACAACACCUUAGAGGUUUAUGGCCAUCAGGAGAAUUUACAACUAAGCUAUAUACUGAUGUAAUGAAAUCUAAUAUAUGCUGUGCAAUGAAUUAUGAGAUGUUAUUUAGUUUCAGGAUUUUAUUACUUCAAUCAGUUAUGACCAUAUUUCCUUUUAUAUGAUUGCUCACUCUUUAAACAUACCAGAUGACUGUAUAAGGAACACCUAAUAAAGUCUAUAGAUGUUAAAAUAUAAAUGUUUUAAUUUAUUUGCCAUAAUUUGUUUAAAUUCUGGUUAUACUGGUGUUCACAUUAAAAGUCAUAACAUGUUAGAAUCUGAGAUCUCAGACUGGAUGGUGCCUCUGAAUUAUAUUUUGCUAAGAAAUGUCAUUGUAUGUAUUAGCAAUUGAGCAGGGAAGAAGAGUGGAAUCAUUACAAGGCAGUUAGUUUUGAGCAUAGAUUCCAGAAAGUCUGUUAAUAUUUGAGAGGUUUAUGUAUUAUGACAAACUAUUUAGAUUGUUAUUCUGGAUUCUGACUCUAUCUCUCCUACAGUCAAAAGUAUGUAUUAUUUGUUUUACUUUGUAUUUUAAUACAUUUGCCUAUUUUUGCAUAAAUGCCAAAAAUGUAAUUUCAAAAUAAAUCCCUG
RNA transcript from Neomonachus schauinslandi (Hawaiian monk seal), 1109 nucleotides. It is a transcript of the gene named cytochrome b-c1 complex subunit 7, with no coding region annotated. The record is from RefSeq and is a predicted model, not a curated record. The transcript is spliced from 5 exons. Lineage: Eukaryota; Metazoa; Chordata; Mammalia; Carnivora; Phocidae.